This 205-nucleotide long non-coding RNA is filed under the name Elaeis guineensis (African oil palm). RNAcentral describes it as "long non-coding RNA (EGUI_LNC046086)". The record is from RNAcentral. Lineage: Eukaryota; Viridiplantae; Streptophyta; Magnoliopsida; Arecales; Arecaceae.
GAUUUGAGAAUUGAAGAUCAUUAAGAUACCACAUAAAUUGAUGGGCUAUGCUUUAGCAUGAAUCAGGUCCUUUUAUUGGGUUAGACCUAGGGUUAGAAACACAUAUGGACUAAGUAGAAAAAUUAGUUAAAUCUAAUCAAGAGUUGAAUUAGAUUAGAUCAAAAUUUUUCUACAUUAACCUCAAUAGUUGAAGUUUGAUCAAGUC